AUACGAAGGGUGCUAGCGUUGUUCGGAAUUACUGGGCGUAAAGAGCAUGUAGGCGGAUAGAUUAGUCAGAGGUGAAAGCCCCGAGCUCAACUCGGGAACUACCUUUGAUACUGUUUAUCUAGAGACCGAGAGAGGUGAGUGGAAUUCUCAGUGUAGAGGUGAAAUUCGUAGAUAUUGGGAAGAACACCAGUGGCGAAGGCGGCUCACUGGCUCGGAACUGACGCUGAGAUGCGAAAGCGUGGGUAGCAAACGGGAUUAGAAACCCUAGUAGUCC
Molecule: ribosomal RNA, 274 nt
Filed under: uncultured bacterium
Lineage: Bacteria
Description: partial 16S ribosomal RNA
Rfam family: Bacterial small subunit ribosomal RNA
Source: RNAcentral